GGAGGUGUCGCAUAAAUGGUUAGUGCAGCGGCGUGCUAAGCCGUCGGGAGAAAUCCCUUGUGCGUUCGAGUCGCACCGCCUCCG
Molecule: transfer RNA, 84 nt
Filed under: Acidobacteriota bacterium
Lineage: Bacteria; Pseudomonadati; Acidobacteriota
Description: Acidobacteria bacterium (soil metagenome) tRNA-Ser
Source: RNAcentral